Eubacteriaceae bacterium CHKCI004 is the source of this 118-nucleotide ribosomal RNA. Lineage: Bacteria; Bacillati; Bacillota; Clostridia; Eubacteriales; Eubacteriaceae. The record is from Rfam.
UCCGGUGGCGAUGCGCCCAGGGGACACACCCGUACCCAUCCCGAACACGAUGGUUAAGACCUGGACGGCCGAUGGUACUAUGCUGGAGACGGCAUGGGAGAGCAGGUGGCUGCCGGGG